This 564-nucleotide ribosomal RNA is filed under the name Peltophryne fustiger. RNAcentral describes it as "partial 16S ribosomal RNA". It matches the Rfam family "Bacterial large subunit ribosomal RNA", at positions 1832 to 2597 of the family's 2925-position model. The record is from RNAcentral. Lineage: Eukaryota; Metazoa; Chordata; Amphibia; Anura; Bufonidae.
CGCCUCUUGAAUCAGUAUAAGAGGUCCAGCCUGCCCAGUGACCCUGUUCAACGGCCGCGGUAUCCUAACCGUGCGAAGGUAGCGUAAUCACUUGUUCUUUAAAUGAGGACUAGUAUGAACGGCAUCACGAAGGUUAUACUGUCUCCUUUUUCUAAUCAGUGAAUCUAAUCUCCCCGUGAAGAAGCGGGAAUAUAACUAUAAGACGAGAAGACCCUAUGGAGCUUAAAACAACACAGCACUUGUCAAAAAACUAAACAAUUCCAGAAUUUUUAAUUUCUAGGCAACAUGACUAUAAGUUUUUGGUUGGGGUGACCGCGGAGUAUAAUAUAACCUCCAUGUUGAAAGAAUUUUAUUCUAAGCCAAAAAGUACAUUUUUAAGCAUCAAUAAAUUGACAUCUAUUGACCCAAUAUACUUGAACAACGAACCAAGUUACCCUAGGGAUAACAGCGCAAUCCACUUCAAGAGCUCCUAUCGACAAGUGGGUUUACGACCUCGAUGUUGGAUCAGGGUUCCCAGUGGUGCAGCCGCUACUAAAGGUUCGUUUGUUCAACGAUUAAAACCCU